This 377-nucleotide long non-coding RNA is filed under the name Phaseolus vulgaris (common bean). Its description in RNAcentral is "long non-coding RNA (PVUL_LNC000713)". Lineage: Eukaryota; Viridiplantae; Streptophyta; Magnoliopsida; Fabales; Fabaceae. The record is from RNAcentral.
UCUUUACUUACAAAGCUCUUAACUAUAGUACAACUUCAGGUGCGUGGCGUUCCAGGAGCGAGGAAUCGCCCCUCCUUCCAGCGUCUCUAAGCGGUAGGCGCCGUUCCCGAGCGCCUCGGUUAUUCUGAACGGUACAGUCCACUUGGGCGACAGUUUAUUCUCCAUCUCGUACUGGUGGGCCUUCCUCAUCACCAGGUCGCCUUCUCUAAACUGCCUUGGCAUCACCUUCGAGUUAUAUCUUCGUUCAAUCCUCCUCUUCACCGCCUCAGCCUUCAAUCUCGCCUCUUCCCUGACCUCAUCCAGUAGAUCCAGGUUCAGCCUUCUCUCUUCAUUCGAGUCUUCCUCUACGAAGUUCUGGAAUCUCGGCGAGCUCUCCU